Molecule: unclassified non-coding RNA, 1189 nt
Filed under: Hevea brasiliensis (rubber tree)
Lineage: Eukaryota; Viridiplantae; Streptophyta; Magnoliopsida; Malpighiales; Euphorbiaceae
Source: RNAcentral
GGAAAAAAAAAAUCAAUCUUUGGAGUCUCUUAGCCAAAAACCCCUAAUAGCAGAAAAAGAGUGGAAGACGAAUGGAGGGAAGUUGUCUAACAUUUAGCACAGCUUUGGCACCAGCCAGACCUUCAACAUGCCUUCAUUACAAUUCUACUUUUGUUAAACAGUUUCAGACAAAUACAAUCACACCAAGAAGAGGAUUAUCAGUAAAAGCGUCCACCCACAAGCCGACUUUAUCGACGAACUGGGAUGUUUCCAGUUACUCAAAAGCCCCUGCUUGGAUGCCCAGAUUUGAAGAACUUGAUACCACCAAUAUGCUUCUUCGUCAAAGGAUUAUCUUCUUGGGUUCUCAGGUAGAUGAUAUUACUGCGGAUUUUAUUAUAAGCCAGCUAUUAAUUCUUGAUGCAGAAGAUGAUAAAAAGGACAUCAGAUUGAUCAUUAAUUCACCUGGUGGUUCAGUAACUGCUGGAAUGGGAAUAUAUGAUGCCAUGAAAAUGUGUAAGGCUGAUGUUUCUACUAUCUGCAUGGGAUUGGCUGCAUCCAUGGGUGCGUUUCUCCUGGCUUCUGGCAGCAAGGGAAAGAGGUACUGCAUGCCAAACGCAAAAGUGAUGAUCCAUCAACCACUUGGAACUUCUGGUGGUAAAGCAACAGAGAUGGGUAUACGGAUCAGAGAAAUGGGAUACCACAAGAUGAAGCUUAAUAAAAUACUAUCAAGAGUUACAGGCCAGCCUUUAGAAAAGAUUGAAGUGGAUACUGAUCGUGAUAAUUUUAUGAAUGCUUGGGAGUCUAAGGAAUACGGGUUGGUUGAUGCUGUUAUAGAUGACGGCAAACCAGGAUUGGUAGCACCCAUUACCGAGGAUGCACCUCCACCAAAAACACGAGUUUGGUAUAAGUGGAAGGCCGAAGGCACCAGGAAGAGAAAGAACAAUUGGCCUUCUGAAGAAAAGUUAUUCCAAAAUGAUGAGCAGAGCAAUGAACAGAAAGAUGAAGCUCUAAGUCCUCUAUAAUGUAUUGGGAUACAUGUGGCCUUGAACAGAUAGUCCCUACUGAAUAUGAGAUGUCGUCUUGAGGGUUCAUUGUAAGAUUAUUAACAGGAAUUUUUAUAUUAUGGUCGACGUCAGUUGAGCCUUCUGUUGUAUCAAUGUCUCCUCUUAGUAUUUGAACUGGUCCUUUAUCAACAAAGAGAACAUUUGAA